RNAcentral lists this long non-coding RNA (1012 nucleotides) under Salvia miltiorrhiza (redroot sage). RNAcentral describes it as "long non-coding RNA (SMIL_LNC005405)". Lineage: Eukaryota; Viridiplantae; Streptophyta; Magnoliopsida; Lamiales; Lamiaceae. The record is from RNAcentral.
GCUCGUCUCAUACAUGCUUUAACAAAUUGCAAAACAUUACAAAUCAUUCCAUUACGGAGAUUUCGGGAGGAGAGGAUGCCAUUAUCAACUGAAGAGAAAAAAAAAGAACAUUCUGACAAUAAAUAAAGAGAACAUUCUGAUUUAGACAAUUUGUUUAAACUGACCAUCAAUAAUUCGACAAAAUUCUGAUCAUUCUCACAAACGAAUUUAACUUUCUUCACCUCCAAUUCUUCAUUUUCCCCAUUCCCAUUGAUCCUCUUUAUUCCAACAAUCUCACAAUCAAAGAUCACAGCUUAAACCCAACUCAACCCCAAACCUAACAAGAAUUUAGGGGUUUCCUCGAAUGAAGCAGCAAAACAAAAGGGGGAAAUUUUUCAAACCUUGCUUUUCAUGAUUGAAAAAAAAACAAACAACCCACAAAAAUUAAGGAUCAAACCCGCAAAGAAUUUCACGCAGCACUCAAAAUCAAGAACAAUUACCCAGCAAGACUUUUAUGCAAUAUUUCAUUGACAACAAGAUUUCAGCAAGAUUUCAACAAGAUUUCAGAGAAAAUAGAACCUUAAAUGGCAGACCGUGCUGCACUGCUGCUGCUGUCGCGCCGAGGAGAGGAGAGCCGUUGGUGUCGCUGCUGUUGUCGCGCCGGGCUGGGAAGCAGUCGGUGCCCGGUGACCGGUGGUGGCAGAUGUUGCUAAUGUCGCGCCGGACCGUGCUGCACUGCUGCUGCUGUUAAGAUCGUCGAAUCUUCGCUGGAAAGAUGAGCCACCGUCGUGUCGGAGUGUGCCGUCGCGCCGGAGUGCGCGUCGCCGGCAACCGAGAGAGAGAUGAUAGAUUGGGGGUGGCUGCUGCGUGCUGAGUUAGGGACUUAGGGAGUUAGGGUUUGUCAUGUGUGUAAUUCAAAUUCACUAGUAAGGUAGAGUUCUAAUGGGCUUAGGAGUUGGGCCAUUUUGUGGGCUCAGAAAUAUAUUUAAUUUUGGGCUUACAUAUAAUAUAUUAUAUAUAUAAUUGUUUGAGC